This is a long non-coding RNA of Pogoniulus pusillus (Red-fronted tinkerbird), 685 nucleotides long. RefSeq lists it as uncharacterized. Lineage: Eukaryota; Metazoa; Chordata; Aves; Piciformes; Lybiidae. The record is from RefSeq and is a predicted model, not a curated record. The transcript is spliced from 3 exons.
UUCAGAGCAGCUGUACUUAAGGCUUGGAAGAAAUCAGCAGCGAGGGACAGCAAAAGAGGCUUUGGCUGCGCUGCUGCGUGAGGAACAAAAAGCUGAGCAGGGACCUGGAGCUGCAGAGGAGAAGCUGUUUGGCAGCCGGACUUAAUGUGAUGCAAAUGCAGCGAGCCCCGGGAGCAGCUGAGCUCCUUCCAGCCCUUCUCGGAGCUGCUGCAUUGAUUCCUUGACAGGAGCUCCCCUGGAAAGCCACCAAAAGAAGAGCUUCUGCAAAGAGGUUUUUUUCCUCUCCUCCAUGUCUGGUUUGACCAAAAAGGUUUAUUGGUGGGAAGGGGCUGGGGGAAGCUAACGUGAGCUGGCGAGGCAGAGACGCACGCUCGGGUGGAGGAACCCAACGCGGCUUGGCAGGAGCCCUGCGAGCACCACGGGGCUGGAGCUCUGCAGCCCCUCCCUGCCAGCCCCACGCCAAUAAUUAGCCAUAAAUAAUCCCCGAAGCUCCUCGCAGCAGGUUUAGCCUCUCUGAGCGUCAGCAGCCAUGAAGCCAGGCAUGGAAAGCAGCCUGGGAGCCAAGGCAGAAGUCGAGUGCCCAGGGAGCCGCUGCCAGCAUAAUUCCUCCUUGUCACUCGCCGCGAGGAGCCGCAUUCCAGCGCCGGCAGCCGAGGCAGACUUGCCAGCCAGACCUCUUCCAGGU